UGGGGUACAACUACAUGCUACGAUGCUAGCUGUCGAAGAUGAUUCAGGCACACCUGAAAUGAGAACACGUCAGACUCUACCGGAGGCAGCAGUGAGGAUAUGCGCAUGGGGGCUCUGACGCAGCCACGCGCGUGGAGUGAGGAAGGUUUUCGGACCGUAAAGCUCUGUCGAGCGGGAAGAAAAUGCAUGGUGGCUAAUAUCCCAUCAUGCUUGACGGUACCGCUAAAGGAAGCACCGGGCUAACUCCCGUGCCAGCAGCCGCGGUAAUACGGGGGGUGCAAGCGUUGUUCGGAAUUAUUGGGCGUAAAGAGCGUGUAGGCGGCUGAAUAAGUCAGAUGUGAAAUCCCUGGGCUUAACCCAGGACGUGCAUUUGAAACUAUUCAGCUUGAGUAGGGGAGAGGAAAGUGGAAUUCCUGGUGUAGAGGUGAAAUUCGUAGAUAUCAGGAGGAACACCGGUGGCGAAGGCGACUUUCUGGCCCUAUACUGACGCUGAGACGCGAGAGCGUGGGUAGCAAACAGGAUUAGAUACCCUGGUAGUC
Molecule: ribosomal RNA, 539 nt
Filed under: uncultured Syntrophaceae bacterium
Lineage: Bacteria; Pseudomonadati; Thermodesulfobacteriota; Syntrophia; Syntrophales; Syntrophaceae
Description: bacterial SSU rRNA
Rfam family: Bacterial small subunit ribosomal RNA
Source: RNAcentral